UAGCCGUAAACGAUACUCGCUAGGUGUCGGCCACGGUGCGACCGUUGUCGGUGCCGUAGGGAAGCCGUGACGCGAGCCACCUGGGAAGUACGGCCGCAAGGCUGAAACUUAAAGGAAUUGGCGGGGGGAGCACCACAACGGGUGGAGCUUGCGGUUUAAUUGGAUUCAACGCCGGAAAUCUUACCGGGACCGACAGCAACAUGAAGGCCAGGCUGAAGACUUUGCCGGAUUAGCUGAGAGGAGGUGCAUGGCGUAGUCGUGU
RNAcentral lists this ribosomal RNA (262 nucleotides) under uncultured archaeon. Its description in RNAcentral is "partial 16S ribosomal RNA". It matches the Rfam family "Archaeal small subunit ribosomal RNA", at positions 748 to 1009 of the family's 1478-position model. The record is from RNAcentral.